CAGUCCCGCGGUAAUACAGAGGGUGCAAGCGUUAAUCGGAAUUACUGGGCGUAAAGCGCGCGUAGGUGGUUUGUUAAGUUGGAUGUGAAAGCCCCGGGCUCAACCUGGGAACUGCAUCCAAAACUGGCAAGCUAGAGUACGGUAGAGGGUGGUGGAAUUUCCUGUGUAGCGGUGAAAUGCGUAGAUAUAGGAAGGAACACCAGUGGCGAAGGCGACCACCUGGACUGAUACUGACACUGAGGUGCGAAAGCGUGGGGAGCAAACAGGAUUAGAUACCCCUGUAGUCCCUGUCUCUUAUACA
This 301-nucleotide ribosomal RNA is filed under the name uncultured bacterium. Its description in RNAcentral is "partial 16S ribosomal RNA". It matches the Rfam family "Bacterial small subunit ribosomal RNA", at positions 512 to 808 of the family's 1533-position model. The record is from RNAcentral.